RNAcentral lists this ribosomal RNA (99 nucleotides) under Castor canadensis (American beaver). The record is from RNAcentral. Lineage: Eukaryota; Metazoa; Chordata; Mammalia; Rodentia; Castoridae.
GCCUACGGCCACACCACCCUGAUCUUGGAGGCUAAGCAGGGCUGGGCCUGGUUAGUACCAGGAUGGCAGACUGCCUGGGCAUCCCAAGUGCGAUAGGUU